GCAACGCGCAGAACCUUACCAGCCCUUGACAUCCCGGUCGCGGUUUCCAGAAAUGGAAACCUUCAGUUCGGCUGGACCGGUGACAGGUGCUGCAUGGCUGUCGUCAGCUCGUGUCGUGAGAUGUUGGGUUAAGUCCCGCAACGAGCGCAACCCUCGCCCUUAGUUGCCAUCAUUCAGUUGGGCACUCUAAGGGGACUGCCGGUGAUAAGCCGAGAGGAAGGUGGGGAUGACGUCAAGUCCUCAUGGCCCUUACGGGCUGGGCUACACACGUGCUACAAUGGUGGUGACAGUGGGCAG
RNAcentral lists this ribosomal RNA (297 nucleotides) under Mesorhizobium sp. M00.F.Ca.ET.149.01.1.1. Its description in RNAcentral is "partial 16S ribosomal RNA". It matches the Rfam family "Bacterial small subunit ribosomal RNA", at positions 956 to 1249 of the family's 1533-position model. Lineage: Bacteria; Pseudomonadati; Pseudomonadota; Alphaproteobacteria; Hyphomicrobiales; Phyllobacteriaceae. The record is from RNAcentral.